AACGAACGCUGGCGGCAUGCCUAACACAUGCAAGUCGAACGAGACCUUCGGGUCUAGUGGCGCACGGGUGCGUAACGCGUGGGAAUCUGCCCUUGGGUUCGGAAUAACAGUUAGAAAUGACUGCUAAUACCGGAUGAUGACUUCGGUCCAAAGAUUUAUCGCCCAAGGAUGAGCCCGCGUAAGAUUAGCUUGUUGGUGAGGUAAGAGCUCACCAAGGCGACGAUCUUUAGCUGGUCUGAGAGGAUGAUCAGCCACACUGGGACUGAGACACGGCCCAGACUCCUACGGGAGGCAGCAGUGGGGAAUAUUGGACAAUGGGCGAAAGCCUGAUCCAGCAAUGCCGCGUGAGUGAUGAAGGCCUUAGGGUUGUAAAGCUCUUUUACCCGGGAUGAUAAUGACAGUACCGGGAGAAUAAGCCCCGGCUAACUCCGUGCCAGCAGCCGCAGUAA
RNAcentral lists this ribosomal RNA (449 nucleotides) under uncultured bacterium. Its description in RNAcentral is "partial 16S ribosomal RNA". It matches the Rfam family "Bacterial small subunit ribosomal RNA", at positions 29 to 523 of the family's 1533-position model. The record is from RNAcentral.